This 18-nucleotide unclassified non-coding RNA is filed under the name Chlamydomonas reinhardtii. Its description in RNAcentral is "small RNA Cre_1989". Lineage: Eukaryota; Viridiplantae; Chlorophyta; Chlorophyceae; Chlamydomonadales; Chlamydomonadaceae. The record is from RNAcentral.
GGUGGGCGUGGGUGUGUG